Molecule: ribosomal RNA, 497 nt
Filed under: uncultured bacterium
Lineage: Bacteria
Description: partial 16S ribosomal RNA
Rfam family: Bacterial small subunit ribosomal RNA
Source: RNAcentral
GAUGAACGCUGGCGGCGUGCCUAAUACAUGCAAGUCGAGCGAACAGACGAGGAGCUUGCUCCUCUGACGUUAGCGGCGGACGGGUGAGUAACACGUGGAUAACCUACCUAUAAGACUGGGAUAACUUCGGGAAACCGGAGCUAAUACCGGAUAACAUGUUGAACCGCAUGGUUCAACAGUGAAAGACGGUCUUGCUGUCACUUAUAGAUGGAUCCGCGCCACAUUAGCUAGUUGGUAAGGUAACGGCUUAUCAAGGCGACGAUGCGUAGCCGACCUGAGGGAGUGGUCGUCCACUCUGGAACUGAGACACGGUCCCGACUCCUACGGGAGGCAGCAGUAGGGAAUCUUCCGCAAUGGGCGAAAGCCUGACGGAGGAACCCCGCGUGAGUGAAGAAGGGCUUCGGAUCGUGAAACUCUGUUUUUAGGGAAGAACAAAUGUGUAAGUAACUAUGCACGUCUUGACGGUACCUAAUCAGAAAGCCACGGCUAACUACGUG